GCCCGAUUCAGUGGGUAUAUAUCAAUCUGACGCGACUGAGAAGAAGCUACCGACCAUUGAGGUCGGUUAAGGUGUCGAUUGGCCAUUGCCUGGCCAUGGAAAGAGCUUCAAAAGAAGCCAAUCUUGAUGUUGUUCCAGGAAGGGAUAAUGAAGGAGGAUUAGCUUUAAGAGCUAAUGGCUGCUAGGCUUGGUGUUGUCAAAAAGUUUCAAAGAAGGUUACAAAGAAGGAGAAGUCAAGGAAAGCUUCUGGAGCUAAAGAAGGGUGUGUACAAACCUCCAAGAUUGGCUCUCAUUCAACUUUCAAGCCAAACUUGAGGGGGAGAAAAGUGUAAACAACCCUCAGGGAGCCCUAGAAGAUCUUUAAAGAAGCGAAUAAUCAAGGAAGCUUCAAAGAAGGUCUCAUUCAAGAUUUGCAACCAUUUUGUGUCCAAGCAAACUUGAAGAGAAGAAAUGUUCUAUAUCUCUCUCAAGUUUCAAAGGAAGCUACAAAGAAGAUAGAAGAAGCAAAACAAGCGUGUGGAGUUUAGAGCCGGCUAUAACCAAGCGAGAAGCAAGACCAUUUGAUGGGACCAACCACAGUACUAAAACUCCCAUGGUAUAAAGGAUGACCCGAUGGAAGAAUGUAGAUGUCUGUUUCAAGCGUGGUGAACCUAUUCAAGCUGACCAAGAGAGAUAAAUUUAGAUUGAAGGACUAGUGGAGAUGCAAGGCUGGUGGUAAACUGGUGGAUAAUCUCUAUCACGUUUUGGUGCUUAUAUGCAAUGAGGAGCUGUGAAAAAAAAAAAAAAAACUCUAGUGAUUCUACAUGGGAGCUGGUAGAGAAGAAGUUUCCAAGUCAACCAUGAAGCUCAUCCAAAUUGGGAUGUAGAAGAGGUGGAUUGAGUUCUAGCUAGUAAGUCAUCAACCAUGAAGAGGAGUCCAAUAAGGCAGAGACUCAAAUGGUGGUGCAAAACAAAUCUCAACCAACACAUUACAACAAUGAAGACAAAAAGGCUAUCUCUAAACCCUUAACUCUUUCAAUAUCUUUAAUUCAUUGCUCAUAUUUAAUUCAGAUUAGUCAAUCAUUUAAAGUAAAUUUGUCAUGCUUAGAAUCUGAAUUUAGAAUGGUUUUUUAAGGAUUUAUUUUUAGAGAAAUGUCUUAAAUUAAUUUGGACUAUCAUGCUUAAUUUUUCAUAUUUAAAACCUGUUUUUAGGAAUUAAGUUCAUGGGUAAGAUAUGAGGUUUAUCUUGUUGAAAUAUGGAUUUAUAAGCUGAAUAUUAAACCGGUUGUGACAUGUUAAAUUGAAUUUGCAUGUUUAAAAUAUGUUUUAUAUUCUUGUGUUAAAUUGAGCUUAGCAAGAGACUAGUUGAAUUGAAGUUUGUUCUCUUUUGUCUCAAUCUAGCUUAAUGUUAUUCUUGUGGCCAAUAUACUUAAGAUUUCUUUACAUUUUUUGGUUGAAGGUCUAAAAGAGAAAGAAAGCCAUCCAAAAGCUAAAUGAGAAGAAGAGAACCGGACGGAUCAUUCAAGCUUGACUCAAGGAAGAUCAAUUCAUGGUGGUGACCGAGAGAGAAGGCCCUCAAGCUAGUACACACACGGAGGAUUAGAGUCUCAACAAGAAGUCAAAGCAAGAAGCCAAAGAGGUCUCACAUUCAAACCAUGGUCAUAGCUACAUAAUUCAACGGUGAAGACUAUACUCUUUUUCCCUAAACAAAGUUUUGUCCCAAGAAGUUUUCUUUGUUAAGGUUUUUAAUGAGGUAGUUAUUAGCGUGUUGCAAACUUGGCCUUUGGUUCCCGCUGCCCAAGCUUGAGGAGGAGUAUUAGAGAGGAAGAAGAGAAAGGAUAACCUAAGGCCGAAGUCUAGAAGACGAGGCCGAGCUUAAUGGUGCUCAAUGAAGUGAGACACUCAACUAGGCUCGUACAUCUCCAAGAUUAAUUUCCGAUGUCUCUACACUUAAGCUUGAAGGGGAUUAUUGAGUAUGUCAAGAUAAAAUAGACCAUUAUGUUCUACAUUAUAUUGGUCUAUUCUAUAUUAACUAAGUUAGGAUAGUAUAGACCAUUAAGCUCGUCUCUACAUUGGUCUAUACUAUACAUACGGGUUAUGUUAAGGCAAAAUAGAUUAGCA
RNAcentral lists this long non-coding RNA (2100 nucleotides) under Capsella grandiflora. RNAcentral describes it as "long non-coding RNA (CGRA_LNC000342)". Lineage: Eukaryota; Viridiplantae; Streptophyta; Magnoliopsida; Brassicales; Brassicaceae. The record is from RNAcentral.